Molecule: ribosomal RNA, 426 nt
Filed under: uncultured bacterium
Lineage: Bacteria
Description: bacterial SSU rRNA
Rfam family: Bacterial small subunit ribosomal RNA
Source: RNAcentral
GAAUAUUGGACAAUGGGCGCAAGCCUGAUCCAGCCAUGCCGCGUGUGUGAAGAAGGCCUUCGGGUUGUAAAGCACUUUAAGUUGGGAGGAAGGUUUCUUGGCUAAUAUCCAAGAGAAUUGACGUUACCACCAGAAUAAGCACCGGCUAAGUCCGUCCCAGCAGCCGCGGUAAUACGGAAGGUGCGAGCGUUAAUCGGAAUUACUGGGCGUAAAGCGCACGUAGGUGGCUACUUAAGUCGGAUGUGAAAGCCCUGGGCUUAACCUGGGAAGUGCAUCCGAUACUGGGUGGCUAGAGUACGGUAGAGGGAGGUGGAAUUCCAGGUGUAGCGGUGAAAUGCGUAGAGAUCUGGAGGAACACCGGUGGCGAAGGCGGCCUCCUGGACUGAUACUGACACUGAGGUGCGAAAGCGUGGGGAGCAAACAGGA